Megalobrama amblycephala (Wuchang bream) is the source of this 1719-nucleotide long non-coding RNA. RefSeq lists it as uncharacterized. Lineage: Eukaryota; Metazoa; Chordata; Actinopteri; Cypriniformes; Xenocyprididae. The record is from RefSeq and is a predicted model, not a curated record. The transcript has 2 exons.
UUUCAUUAUUUAUCGACUUUAAUAUAUCGGCCAACUUUUCUUAUCGUGCCGAUAACGAUAACAUUAAAAAUCAACAUGUAUCGGCCGAUACCGAUAUGGCGGCCAAUAUAUCGUGCAUUCCUACUAAUUGCAGUAAAAAUAUGGUAAUUAAUAGUUUUUUACUUGCCAUAUCCAUUAAUUUGACAGUAUUUUUCAGAGUUUAUCAUUAGAUUGUGCAUAAAAUAUGGCCAGUAUAAAGAUGAUGCACAUGGUCAUACUAAAAUAAUACAAUAAACAUUCACUAAAUAACAGAAAAUAUAACACAAACCCCCAUAAUGCACAUUAUUGAUAACAAAAAUAUACGAGGAAAAAAUAUGUGAUGUCACGUAGGGACAUCUGAAAAUGUCAUUUUACUUUUUUCACCAUAAACGAUAUGGUAAUUAAUUAUUUUUACUGGCAAAAACCAUACUUACAUCAUUUUACAGUAAAAUUAUAUAUAAUGCAUUUACAGUUUUCACUGUUGUGGCAAGGUAACUUGUUAACAGAUUUUUACUGUAGCAUUUUUACAAUUUUCUGUAAAAAUUACUAACAUUAUUAUUAUUUUACAGUGUACAAGCCAAGUUGUGUUGAAAAUGGACAAAGCCAGAAUUUUGGUUGUUUCAACCCAAUGGCUGGGUUAAAUGUUUGCCUAAUGUGCUGGGCAGUUUUAUUUAAAACCUAACUAUUGUUUUAAAAUGACUAUAUGGACUAAAUGACUAUACAAAUCAGACAAAUAAUUAGAGGCAAAUAUAAUAAUCAAAAGGUGAACAUUUAUUAAUAAGCAAUUUAAUACGUUUAUUGUUUAAAUAUUAUUCAUUAAACUUAUUAAUAAAUGUUCAUUCAUUUCAUUUUAAGCAAGUAAUACAGUAAUUUUUAAACAAUAGCUGAGUUAAAUAAAACUACCCAGCAGGCUGGGUCAAACAUUUAACCCAACUGCUAGGUUUGUCCAUUUUCAACCCAACUUGUUUUUAACUUGAUUGCUUUUAACCCAACUUGAUUGUUUUUAACCCAGCAUUUUUCAAAGUGUAGUCUAUUUUGAUUGUCUUUUACAUUUACAUUCAUUCAUUUAACAGACACGUUUAUCCAAAGCGACUUACACUGCAUUCAACAUACACACUAUUAACUUUAGCCAUUAUGCAACCACACAGAUCACCCUAGCAACACCCUAGCAACUGCACCACAACAACACCAGAGCAGCGAGUUAUGAAUGGGCAGACACCGCUCAUAUUUUCUUCAGAAAAUGCAAAGCUAGUUAUUUGAUAUUCAAGGCUCAUCAGACUGAUUCAAACCUGUCGUCGAGUGGCAGCGAGUCCUGGAAGAUUCUUGGCUGCUGUCUGGAUAACUAACGGACGAGAUCCAGGCCUUUAUCUCUGUGGUGUGAAUGUAGAAGCGUGACCAGCAGCUUUCAAAGGGUUCAGAGAUCGGAGGGACGUCAUCGUUUUCAUGAGCUGCUGAACUCUGCGCUCUACCUGCAAGAUUAAAACACGCCAUUGUUUAACAUUCCAGAAAGAAGCACCUGAAGAGAGAAGCGGGGAGAUGAGUUGAGUGGAAUCUAUUUCCAUAAUUCUGCCGUGCCUGUCUGCCGGUGAGACCUCAGGUGGUUCAUCGGUUGCCCCGGCCAGACCCUAUCAAUGCGAGGGGCGAUCUCAUCCUUUCUGCAUCUUUUCUCAUCACAGCUUGAUUAAAUGGGCUUCAAAUAUG